This 480-nucleotide ribosomal RNA is filed under the name uncultured bacterium. Its description in RNAcentral is "partial 16S ribosomal RNA". It matches the Rfam family "Bacterial small subunit ribosomal RNA", at positions 28 to 507 of the family's 1533-position model. The record is from RNAcentral.
GAUGAACGCUAGCGGCAGGCCUAACACAUGCAAGUCGAGGGGGAAGUUACUUUCGGGUGACUGAGACCGGCGUACGGGUGCGUAACGCGUAUACAAUCUGCCUUUCACUGGGGGAUAGCCCGAAGAAAUUUGGAUUAAUACCCCAUAGUAUAUAGGGACAGCAUCGUUUUUAUAUUAAAGCUUAGGUGGUGAAAGAUGAGUAUGCGUUCUAUUAGCUAGUUGGAGAGGUAACGGCUCCCCAAGGCGAUGAUAGAUAGGGGUUCUGAGAGGGAUGUCCCCCACACUGGUACUGAGAUACGGACCAGACUCCUACGGGAGGCAGCAGUGAGGAAUAUUGGACAAUGGUCGGAAGACUGAUCCAGCCAUGCCGCGUGCAGGAUGAAGGUCUUAUGGAUUGUAAACUGCUUUUGUAAGGGAAGAAUAAGGGCUACGCGUAGUUUGAUGACGGUACCUUACGAAUAAGCAUCGGCUAACUCCGUG